RNAcentral lists this ribosomal RNA (547 nucleotides) under uncultured bacterium. RNAcentral describes it as "bacterial SSU rRNA". It matches the Rfam family "Bacterial small subunit ribosomal RNA", at positions 355 to 896 of the family's 1533-position model. The record is from RNAcentral.
UGGGGAAUAUUGCGCAAUGGGGGGAACCCUGACGCAGCCAUGCCGCGUGAAUGAAGAAGGCCUUCGGGUUGUAAAGUUCUUUCGGUAUUGGGGAAGGUUGAUGUGUUAAUAGCACAUCAAAUUGACGUUAAAUACAGAAGAAGCACCGGCUAACUCCGUGCCAGCAGCCGCGGUAAUACGGAGGGUGCGAGCGUUAAUCGGAAUAACUGGGCGUAAAGGGCACGCAGGCGGUUAUUUAAGUGAGGUGUGAAAGCCCCGGGCUUAACCUGGGAAUUGCAUUUCAGACUGGGUAACUAGAGUACUUUAGGGAGGGGUAGAAUUCCACGUGUAGCGGUGAAAUGCGUAGAGAUGUGGAGGAAUACCGAAGGCGAAGGCAGCCCCUUGGGAAUGUACUGACGCUCAUGUGCGAAAGCGUGGGGAGCAAACAGGAUUAGAUACCCUGGUAGUCCACGCUGUAAACGCUGUCGAUUUGGGGGUUGGGGUUUAACUCUGGCGCCCGUAGCUAACGUGAUAAAUCGACCGCCUGGGGAGUACGGCCGCAAGGUUA